UGGGGAAUAUUGCACAAUGGGGGAAACCCUGAUGCAGCGACGCCGCGUGAACGAAGAAGGUAUUCGUAUCGUAAAGUUCUGUCCUAUGGGAAGAUAAUGACAGUACCAUAGAAGAAAGCUCCGGCUAAAUACGUGCCAGCAGCCGCGGUAAUACGUAUGGAGCGAGCGUUGUCCGGAAUUAUUGGGCGUAAAGGGUACGCAGGCGGUUUAAUAAGUCGAAUGUUAAAGAUCGGGGCUCAACCCCGUAAAGCAUUGGAAACUGAUAAACUUGAGUAGUGGAGAGGAAAGUGGAAUUCCUAGUGUAGUGGUGAAAUACGUAGAUAUUAGGAGGAAUACCAGUAGCGAAGGCGACUUUCUGGACACAAACUGACGCUGAGGUACGAAAGCGUGGGGAACAAACAGG
This 403-nucleotide ribosomal RNA is filed under the name bacterium. RNAcentral's name for it is "partial 16S ribosomal RNA". It matches the Rfam family "Bacterial small subunit ribosomal RNA", at positions 355 to 776 of the family's 1533-position model. The record is from RNAcentral.